CUAGACCUACUAGACAUUGCCCUAGGCAAUGCUGGAGGACGGGCGCUCGUGCCCUCAUCCUCAGGUGGUACUCCAGUCAAUCUUGCUGAUCGACGAUUUCCUCUCAUCCUGUUUUCUGAAAAACAGUACACUUCACAUAAAUAUUAGCAUCAUAUGGUUCAUGUGGGCACACAUGAACCCGCAUCACACAUCAUAGCAUAUCAUUAAUGCACAUGCAUAUAAUCAUGGCAUUUCACAUCAUCAUGUAAGACAGGACUCCAUAUCCUAUCCUAGUGGACAUGACCUUUCCUAUUGUGCU
Molecule: long non-coding RNA, 298 nt
Filed under: Manihot esculenta (cassava)
Lineage: Eukaryota; Viridiplantae; Streptophyta; Magnoliopsida; Malpighiales; Euphorbiaceae
Description: long non-coding RNA (MESC_LNC006546)
Source: RNAcentral